CGGCUCACGGCCUCUUCCUCUGUCUUCAAAGCUAGCUGUGGAGCAUCUUCAGAUCACGUGCUCUCCUCUUACUCUCUCUCUCUCUCUCUCUCUUUCUCUCUGUUUCUCUCCACCCACAUUUUCGUCACCACGUCUCUGACACUUUCGCCUCCCUCUUACAAAGCACCUGUGAUUACACUGGACCUAUCCAGAUAAUCCAGUGUCAUCUCCAUUUCAGGACCCUUAGCCACACCUGCACAGUCCCCUUUGCUGUGGAAGAUCACUCAUCACAGGAUUAUAUUUUAAGACGGUCUUUGUUGCUGUCAAUAUCGUCGCGAAACACCACGUAUCGUGCAUCCGCCACACACCCCAGCGAAGAACCACCAGAUGUGUUUCGCCUUUAUUUUCUAUUUUUACUACUGGGAAUUGGAUCUUUUUCCUAUUCUAUUUUCAAACUAGUUGUUUUUAUUCUACAGGACUGCCAUAAUGAGUCCCAUAAGCUGGAUGGCUCUAACACGGUGUUUCAGAGGCGGCAAGCCCGGGGUGAAGGUGUUGGCAGGGUUGGUUCCCUCUGUGGACGGGGAGGGAGGGUCUGCUCCAGGCCUCUCUCCAGCGUCUGCUGGUGGCCGGGUCGUGGGCAUCUCUUGGCUCGCAGAAGCAUCGCCCCUGUCUCUGCCUUUAUCUUCAGGUGGUGCUCUCCCUGUGUGUCUCUGUGUCCAAAUUUCCCCUUUGUAUAAGAACACCCAUCAUACUGGAUCAAGGCCACUUUCAAAAUCUCAUUUUUAAUGGAUCAUUCACAAAGACACUAUUUCCCCAUAAAGUUGCAUUCUGAGGUAUGGGUUGAGGAUUUCAACAUGUGAAUCUGGGGGUGAUGUAUUCCAGCCCAUACUACUUUCCAGUGUUCAUAACUCUAAUUUGUUUUCUUAUUUCAUUGCUUUGUCUUGGACAUUAAGAAUAAUUGUUAAUGACAUUUGCUACAGCAACUAUCUGUGUAUCCCCUUGGAGAGUGAUGGGCCUACCUCACCUUAAAGGGUGGUAUUAGAUAUAGCUUGAGAGAGACCUAUUCCAUACAUGAGAUUUCUAGUUUAUUCAGAGGCUUUUCUUUUCAUUUUAAUCAGGAAUGGAUUUUUUAAACCAAUGUGUUUUCAAUAUUUACUGAGUUUAUGAUUUAUAUUUUGUCAUAGAUUGAACUGUAUUAACACAUAACCUAAAAUAAAAACA
Molecule: long non-coding RNA, 1200 nt
Filed under: Homo sapiens (human)
Lineage: Eukaryota; Metazoa; Chordata; Mammalia; Primates; Hominidae
Description: HSALNT0131393
Source: RNAcentral